CUCUGAUGAACAUCCCCGGAGGUGGUAAGGCUCCAGUGGGUUUCAUAGUGAGUAGGUGAUUAGGAGUCAGCGGUUCUGGACCAUUUGGAUCAUUCGGGUUAUCCACAGUGAGUGGACGGCUGUUCACAAUAGACAUUGCCUCGUAAAACAAUGUCCUCAAACAGGCAUCAUCUAAUCUUCCAGGUGAGAGUGAAAGAGUGGACCGAAGUACAUUUCUUACUGUUCUGAUCUGUCUCUCCCAGACACCUCCAACAUGGCUUGAAUGGGGAGCAUUCAUAAUGAAGUCGCACUGCCUCUCAGCCAAGAAUGCAGUCAGACGACUGACAUCCAUUUGUUUCAGCGCAUUAUACAUGUCAUUCUUAGCUCCAACAAAAUUGCUUCCUUGGUCACAUCUUAUUUGUCGUACUGCUCCUCUUAUGGAAACAAAACAUCGGAGGCCAUUAAUGAAGGCAUCUGCUGACAUAUCAUUCACCAUUUCAAUGUGAAUUGCUCUACAACAAAGGCAUGUGAAAAGCAGACCAUAACGUUUAUUCACCUUACGCCCUUGCUUUGUAAAAAAUGGCCCAAAACAGUCCAUUCCGCAAUAAGUGAAAGGUGGAGAUGGAUCCACCCGCUCAGAUGGCAGGUCUGCCAUUCGAUGCUCCUCCACUGAUCCCCUGAGUUUCCUGCAUUUGACACACUGAUGCACAUAAGAUGCAACAGCUCUGUUCAUUCCUGGGAUCCAGUAUCCAUUUGAUCUGAUCUCGUUGAUGGUUAUACCCCUUCCUUGGUGUUUAACCUGUUCAUGAUGAUGAGCUAUUAUCAUCCUCGUUAUGUGGUGGUCCUUUGGAAUGAUCAUUGGAUGUUUCUGAGAGGCAGGGAGACAUGCAUUUUUCAGUCUUCCUCCCACCUUGAGGAUUUCAUCUUUGUCAAGAAAGGCAUCCAAUCGAAACAGUUUACUCUGGUGUGAAAGUUGUAAGCCAUUACUAAGUAGCUGGAUCUCAUCUGGAUACACUCCUCUCUGUAAAUCUCUUAUAAUGAUGCGCUGUGCAUCCUCUCGCUCCUGAACUGUGCUGUGACUUGUUGACUUGUCACUCUUGGCUCGGCGAAGAAGUCGUGCAACAGCUUGUUUGACCUUACACCAUGAAGAAAACUUUGACAAGCGGUCUGAAAGAGUCACUUGUUCUGCAGACUCCAAAUUUAGUGCUUGAACCCUUUUAACUUCAGGGUCCCCAACUGGGAUUUCUGGGAUUACCUCUACCUCUGGUGAUACCUCUUUCUCCCAUAAGAACUUGGAUCCAGUAAACCAGUUCGAUGUCAGAAGCUUGCUUGCACUAGAACCUCUUGAUGCAAGGUCUGCAGGAUUCUUGUUAGUAGAAACAUAUCGCCACUGCUGAGGAGUUGUACUGAGAUGUAUUUUCUGAAUCCUAUUUGAUACAAAUGUGUGGAAGCGACGUGCCUCGUUGUUAAUGUACCCCAGUACAACCUUGGAGUCUGUCCAGAGGUAUUCAUCAAUCCCUGAAAUUCCCCGUUCUUCCUUUAGAGUAUUGCUUGCUGCAACUGAUACAACAGCAGCAGUCAGUUCUAAACUGGGGAUGGUCACAGCUUUGAUUGGAGCAACUCUGGACUUUGCCAUAAUCAGAGCACAAUGAACAGUUCCAUUUUCAUUCACAUGUCUCAAAUAUCAGCACUGGCCAUAACCAUACGUCCUUGCAUCAGAGAAGUGAUGUAGCUCUCUCUUUGUGACCUUUCCAAAGUCAGCUGGUACAUAGCAUCGGGGUAUGGUGAUUUUAUCCAAAUUUGCCAGAUCACUCUUCCAGGAUCUCCAGACUGGUUGCAGUUUACUGAUGAGUGGGUCAUCCCAACCUGUACCAUGCCUACACAUUUCUUGAAGAACCCUUUUCCCAGUUAGCAGGAAAGGAGCAAUAAGCCCAAGUGGGUCGUAAAGAGAGGCAACAGUGGAUAGUAUACCACGGCUGGUUUCUGGUUGGUCCUUCAAACGGGUAUGGAACCUGAAACUGUCUGACUCAAUGUGCCAGUGGAUUCCUAAGGCUCUUUCCAGCGAUGAAUCACUAAAGGCAAGAUCAAGAGCCUUUACUUCAGUGGCACGCUCAGAUGGUGCUAUACUCUCAAGCACCUUUGCAUUGUUACACACAAAUUUGUGUAGUCGCAGACCACCCAUAGCACAGAGCCUUUGCGCUUCUUUUGCGAGCUGAAUAGCCUCAUCUACAUCUGCUAUGCUUGUGACACCAUCAUCCACAUAGAAGUCCCUCAUAAUGAAUUGGGAGCCCAGAGGAAACAGGCUCUCGUUCUCCUUAGCGAGAUGUUUCAACCCAUAGUUGGCACAUCCCGGUGAAGAUGCAGCACCAAAAAGGUGAACUUUCAUACGGAAUUCCUGCGGCUCCACACUGAAGUUUCCAUCCUUCCACCACAGGAAACGUAGGUAGUCUCUAUCCGCUUCGCGCACAUGAAACUGAUGAAACAUCCUUUUGAUGUCGCACAUCAGAGCAACAUGGUUCUGUCGAAAUCUGAUAAGAACACCAGUUUGAGUAUUUGUCAAAUCUGGGCCCGACAGGAGAUGAUCAUUUAGGCAAGUUCCCUUGUACUUAGCCGAGCAAUCAAAAAGCACUCUGAGCUUCUCUUGUUUUUUGGAAUGAUAAACUCCGUGGUGUGGAAUAUACCAUGUUUCACCUUCCUUCUCUUCACAGAGAACUUCUUCAGCAUCAUUGUUUUUAAUUACCUCAUUCAAAAACGUUAUGUAGUGAGUCUUGUAGUUCUUGUUGUUCAGCAGCUUUCGUUUGAGAUGGUUGAGCCAGAUGAUAGCUAACUGCUUGUUGUUGGGAAGGUAGGGUCUCUCUUUAAAAGGGAGAGGUAUCUCAUAGUGACCAUGGGCGUUCAUGUAAAUGCUUUCCUUUAGCAUAUUCAGGAAGAGGAUGUCAUCUUGAGACACUGUUCUGCUGUCCUUGCUGAUGUCCUUAAAGUCAGACUCAAGUACUUUAAUGGCAUCGGAUGGUGUCACUGGAGGAAGCUCUUUGACAGUUACUCUAUGGCAUAUGUUGGCGACAGGAGGAGAUUCAAGGUGAGGUGGUGAGCAGCCUAUGAUGCUCCAUCCUAGGUCUGUGCGGCCUGUGAGCAGUUAUAGCCUAUUAGAAGACCAACUUCACAGUCUAAAUGUGGCGGAAUGUCAUCUGCUAUUGCUUUGAGAUGAUUCCAAUGCCUCGCCGUUUCACUGGUAGGAAUGUGCCUUCGAUUCACUGAGAUUGUGGAGGUAUAGCCACGCACUCUGAGACCUGAGACUCUUUCACUGUGUGUUACUGUGUCCUUUCCGAUCAUGGCGGUUAGCUUUAGCCUUACAGGAUAGGUCUUGGUUGUCAAGCUACGACUAACAUCUUCAUCAAUAAACACAGUGUCACUCUGGGUGUCGAGCAGAGCAUAGACAAGCCUUUCUAUUCCUGGGUUGUUGGAAGAGGAAACCCAGACUGGCAAAAUCAUGGAUGUAGUCGUAGAUGUGUGCUCAGUCUCUGUAUUGAGAGACAAUGUCAUAGCUGCUUCAUCUGUGUUCUGAUUAGGGGCUAACACAGGAUUCAUGUUGGAAUAUCUGUCGUCAUGAAGGCAAGUUGGGUGUCGUCCCUUACAGAUAUCACAUAAGUGUCUGUGGCGGCAGUCUUUAACAUUAUGGCCUGGUUUCAGACAACCAUAGCAGAGUUUGUUUUCCCUUACAUACUUUCUUUUCUCUUCCAGAGGCGUUCCUUUAAACUCUGGACAACUAUGUAGGCGGUGUUUGUUAUCAUGACAGAACGUACAAGGGGGCUUUAAGCUUGUCUUGGAUGGUACAUUCUUCUCAUUCUCUGUAAGUGUCUGUGUAUGGAGAACAGUAGAUUUAUUUUUCCUUUCUUUCAGAUGAUGUUUCUCUGCAGGUAAGUCUGAUAAACGUAAUGCAUGGAGGGAAGUUACUGGGUUACAGGCAAUCUCUGCUUCUAAUGACAUGAAGUUGAGAAAGUCCUGAAAGGCUCGAAAUUCCCGUCUGUCCUUCAUAAACUGGGUCACCUUGCGGUUCCACCUUGAAGCUGCCCACUCAGGUAACUUUUGGACCAGCUUUUGGUUCUCUUCACAGUCAUUCAGAAUGUCCAGCCCUUUAAUAUGAGGCAUGGCUUGCUGACAUGCAUGUAGGAAGUCGGCGAAUGCUCUGAGUUGUUCUGCAUCCUUUGAGUGGAUCUUUGGCCAGCUAGCUAGUUUUUCUCUGAAAGCUCUCUGCAAGACGAAUGGUUGACCGUACUUGCUAUUAAGGCGAUCCCAUGCAUCCUUAUACGCUUCAUCAUCCUCCCUGUAAAAGAUACCAUCAAGUGUCUUUCGUGCAGGGCCUCCCACAUAUCUUCUCAAAUAAUGCAGUUUGUCAGCUGAACAUAUGUUCCUUUUAUCUAUGAGGGAUAUGAAUGAAGAUUUCCAUUCAAUGAACUGGAUUGGGUCGCCGGUGAAUACAGGUGGCUCUGGCAUUGGAAGUCUGUUCAUGGCUAUGCUGUCUUGUACUGCUUGAGCUAAGUGGGACACAUCUGUCUGUGGAGGUGAAGCUGGAAAUCUUGUGAGAUGCUGAACUGGGGCCGGAGACACAGCUUGAUGUGGGUGCAUAUGUUCCUGGUUCCUUAGUUUGCUGUUAGCAGAGCACAAGCUGCCCUCCUGCAUUACUUCUUGGUUGUAAAUUGACAAUCUUGCUCGUGCUGCUCUUAUAUCCUUUUCAGCUCUUAGUCUUUCUAGUUCAUGUUUUUGAGCUUCAAGAUCCCUUUUCUGUUGCUCUACUAAGAGCUGGAUCCUUUCUUUUUGUUUUCCUUCCGCCAAUAACAACUCAUAUUCCGCUUCCUUUGCUGCUAAUUCUGCUGCAGCAUCUGCUCUUUUUACUGCGACAAUGGAGUCUAUAGUGUGUUGACUUGGAGGUGAAACUGUGGAUCCAUAUAUGGAAUGAGCAUAGUCUCUGUUAAGGAGCUCACGAAGGCGUUCUUUGACUGCUUCACUAUCAUAGUCUUCGUCUAAGCCUGAUAUUCUUUCAUAUGCAAUUUUAAUAAUGUCCUUUGUUACGGCCUCACAUGCAUCAACACGACGUCUCGUUUCACUGGAUGGUGUGAGGUGAUCUCUGAUUUGUACAUAAAUGUCUGUAACAUCAUUCAUGUAUUUCUCUAAGAUAUCAAUGAGAGCUGCGAUUUCACUCUCUGGAAUGUCUAGCUUUAGCUGAUGUCUUGCCUUACGUGCCUGGAUCUUCCACUGAUCAUAAAGGUGCAUGAGCCGCUUCUCCUUUUUGUGUGCCUCCUCUCUCUGAAAUGCAAGCAUCUUCUCCGUGGGAUUUCUUGGGCGAUCAGAUCUGCGAAGUUCCUCAUCCUUGCUUGCUUGACAGAUGUCCUUUAUCUGAUCUGAGCCUUCUGCUUCUGCAGUUAAUAUCUGAGAUGCUUCCAUUUUGAGCGAGUGUCACAUUUAGACCAUCACCAUGAAUCCCUCUUCUCUCAUCAUAGACUUUGGCAGUCAGGUGAAACUCGUGAGGCUGAAGCUCUUACUGUAGCAUCCCUGGCUGAAUGAUGGUCUCUUAUACUGAUGCUUCACAGAGGUUUUAUUGGAAAAGUUUUUAUUGAAACAUUCAGUGAAGACACCCAUAGCUGGACUGGCCAUCGGGCAUACUGGGCAUUUGCCCGGUGGGCCGAUGGUGAUUUUUCGUUUUUAUGUUGUUGUUUUUUUGUUUUUUGUUUUUUCCUGUAACGGUAUAAACACUGAAAGGUGGUGGAUUGGCCAGAUGCUGGGAGAUGUGUAAAAAUAACUCAAUUGUUUGGUGGUGGCUAUUGCAGAGCUUCCACAGAUUCAGUAAUAUUAGCAAGUGGUGGAGGCCAGCAGAUGCAAAACGCUGGCAGGUGGAUGACAGAAACGCAGAAGGAGCAGAGACCUGAGGCGGUGAACUGAACUUCAGGUAAGAAGUUAUGACCUGCAGUCUAUCUGGGUCAGAUAUAAACCAAGUUUAGGUGGAGUUUAUUUUCGUUGUGCUGACUUUUUACAGUCAGUUACAAUAACUCGUACUGCUUACUAGCUAGCAUGACGGAGUUUAUAUACUGCUGGGCAGGUGCUAUGAUAUUAUUGAUGUUGAACUUGUUUUAUUUUAUUUUAUUUAUAAGGUUAGUUAUUAGAGUCUCCAACCGUCCUGUAAAAAACGGAAUCUUCUCGUAUUCAGAGUAAAUAUUGCGUGUUUUGUACUGAGGUGAAAAGGAACACAGUUUGUCCCAGACUUCAGCUACAAUGAAAAAGACACAAAGCUGGAAUUAUUCUGUGUCUUUGCUGCACAGCUGCCUCUUCUUCUCCCAUUCUCUCCCCCUCCCUCUCCUGUUUCUACUUCAAUCAUGAAACUGAUCAAUGAUCAGCUGAUCGGCUUUUCUCUCUUGUUUAUUUAUCGCCCACUUUGCGUCAGAAACAGGAAACUGGAUGUCGCGCUAAACAACAGCAGCACAUUUAAGCUUAAACAGCUGUUGUUAGAAUUUAUUUAAUAUUAGUUUCUAGUAUCAGCUGAUGUUUGCUGGAGCCACAGCUGUAAAAGCUGCUGGUCAUGAUAUCGGUUUGGAUAUCUGGUGAGAGGGAAACAUGCAGAUGAAACCAGGAGAUGUCCUUACUGAAUCAUCAGAGCUGAACAGGUGAUGGAGAAACAGGUUUACCUUUUAGGUGACAUGGAUGAGUUGAAGGGAAGUUAUGAACUGUUUCUGAGAGACAAAUAACACCAGGAUCCUUUUCUACGUAGCUGACAGCUGGUAACUGUGCAGGGGCGGAUCUAGCAAAGUGUUGCCAGGGGGGCAGGUAGGGCAUUAACAGGGA
This is a long non-coding RNA of Oreochromis aureus, 6813 nucleotides long. NCBI's taxonomy places the organism in Eukaryota, Metazoa, Chordata, Actinopteri, Cichliformes, Cichlidae. The record is from Ensembl.